Molecule: ribosomal RNA, 501 nt
Filed under: uncultured bacterium
Lineage: Bacteria
Description: partial 16S ribosomal RNA
Rfam family: Bacterial small subunit ribosomal RNA
Source: RNAcentral
AUUGAACGCUGGCGGCAGGCUUAACACAUGCAAGUCGAGCGGAGUGAUGGUGCUUGCACCUUAUCUUAGCGGCGGACGGGUGAGUAAUGCUUAGGAACGUGCCGAGUAGUGGGGGAUAACGCAGCGAAAGUUGUGCUAAUACCGCAUACGUACUGAGGUAGAAAGUGGGGGACCUUCGGGCCUCACGCUAUUCGAGCGGCCGACGUCUGAUUAGCUAGUAGGUGAGGUAAAGGCUCACCUAGGCGACGAUCAGUAGCGGGUCUGAGAGGAUGAUCCGCCACACUGGGACUGAGACACGGCCCAGACUCCUACGGGAGGCAGCAGUGGGGAAUUUUGGACAAUGGGCGAAAGCCUGAUCCAGCCAUGCCGCGUGUCUGAAGAAGGCCUUCGGGUUGUAAAGGACUUUUGUCAGGGAGGAAAUCCCUAGUGCUAAUAACACUGGGGGAUGACAGUACCUGAAGAAUAAGCACCGGCUAACUACGUGCCAGCAGCCGCCAGUAA